Molecule: ribosomal RNA, 460 nt
Filed under: uncultured bacterium
Lineage: Bacteria
Description: partial 16S ribosomal RNA
Rfam family: Bacterial small subunit ribosomal RNA
Source: RNAcentral
CCUACGGGAGGCAGCAGUGAGGAAUAUUGGUCAAUGGGCGUAAGCCUGAACCAGCCAAGUCGCGUGAGGGAUGAAGGUUCUAUGGAUCGUAAACCUCUGUUAUAAGGGAAUAAAGUGUGGGACGUGUACUGUUUUGUAUGUACCUUAUGAAUAAGGAUCGGCGAACUCCGUGCCAGCAGCCGCGGUAAUACGGAGGACCCGAGCGUUAUCCGGAUUUAUUGGGUUUAAGGGGUGCGUAGGCGGCCUUGUAAGUCAGCGGUGAAAGUCUGUGGCUCAACCAUAGAAUUGCCGUUGAAACUGGGAGGCUUGAGUAUGUGGGAGGCAGGCGGAAUGCGUGGUGUAGCGGUGAAAUGCUUAGAUAUCACGCAGAACCCCGAUUGCGAAGGCAGCCUGCCAAGCCAUGACUGACGCUGAUGCACGAAGGCGUGGGGAUCAAACAGGAUUAGAUACCCUAGUAGUC